Picea glauca (white spruce) is the source of this 99-nucleotide non-coding RNA. Lineage: Eukaryota; Viridiplantae; Streptophyta; Pinopsida; Pinales; Pinaceae. The record is from Rfam.
CUAAGUGGAAUUGAUUGUGGGAAAACUCCAUAGUUAAGCACACUUGAGCCAGAGGCGUAUUGGGAUGGGUCACCACCUGGGAAGUCCUGGUUACUGGGU